GAUGAACGCUGGCGGCGUGCUUAACACAUGCAAGUCGAACGGUGAAGCAGAGCUUGCUCUGUGGAUCAGUGGCGAACGGGUGAGUAACACGUGAGCAACCUGCCCCGGACUCUGGGAUAAGCGCUGGAAACGGCGUCUAAUACAGGAUACGAGAUUCCACCGCAUGGUGAGUUUCUGGAAAGAUUUUUUGGUCUGGGAGGGGCUCGCGGCCUAUCAGAUUGUUGGUGAGGUAAUGGCUCACCAAGGCGUCGACGGGUAGCCGGCCUGAGAGGGUGACCGGCCACACUGUGACUGAGACACGGCCCAGACUCCUACGGGAGGCAGCAGUGGGGAAUAUUGCACAAUGGGCGGAAGCCUGAUGCAGCAACGCCGCGUGAGGGAUGACGGCCUUCGGGUUGUAAGCCUCUUUUAGCAGGGAAGAAGCGAAAGUGACGGUACCUGCAGAAAAAGCGCCGGCUAACUACGUGCCAGCCGCCGCCGUAA
RNAcentral lists this ribosomal RNA (483 nucleotides) under uncultured bacterium. RNAcentral's name for it is "partial 16S ribosomal RNA". It matches the Rfam family "Bacterial small subunit ribosomal RNA", at positions 28 to 523 of the family's 1533-position model. The record is from RNAcentral.